AGGUCCCACUCCAAGUUUUGCCCAAAUCUUUCUGAUUGGUGGAACUUAAAUCACACCCAAAAUCCCAGCUGCCAGCAGAGCUGUGAGAUUUCAUCUUUCCGACCUCUGUGUGCUACAUGGGAGUUGGAGCACUUGCUGAUAAGCCCUGCAACCACCAUUGACAGGAUGUCCUCCACCUUUUCAAUCUGAUUUGCUCUUUGCCAUGCAGACCUGUGGAUGAAGAGCCAGAGUCCUCCAAGGUAAAUCUGGACUGAAUAUUUCUGUCCAUAAGACUGUUAGAAUCUCCCAGAGUGGGAUACUGACCCGUGAGGACCUCACCAGCAGCUGCUGUCUCUGCAGUCACAUAGAUGAGCCUCAGAAAUAACCACUGCUUGUGGUUUACUGUGUAUUCCUCCAGAUGUUUUUCUUUACACAUAUUAGUAAGUGUGGAGAGAGAGUGUGUGUGUUUUGUAAAUUUGAUUACACUGUGCAUUUCUUCUGACAUCCAUUUCACUUUAUCGUUGGAAAGUAAGCUCUGUGAGGGCAGAGAUUUCUGUUUAUUGUACUUGCUGUUAUAGCUCUUGUCUGUAACAGUGGCUGGCACAUGGUCACAUCACAGUAGAAGCUCAAUAUUUGUUGAAUGAAUGAAAAAA
Long non-coding RNA from Piliocolobus tephrosceles (Ugandan red Colobus), 632 nucleotides. RefSeq lists it as uncharacterized. The transcript is spliced from 3 exons. The record is from RefSeq and is a predicted model, not a curated record. Lineage: Eukaryota; Metazoa; Chordata; Mammalia; Primates; Cercopithecidae.